AGGGAAUUAGCUCAACUGGUUAGAGCAACCGUUUUACACACGGAAGGUUAGGUGUUCAAAUCACCUAUUUCUUA
This 74-nucleotide transfer RNA is filed under the name Usnea subfusca. Its description in RNAcentral is "tRNA-Val". It matches the Rfam family "tRNA". Rfam says of the family: Transfer RNA (tRNA) molecules are approximately 80 nucleotides in length. Lineage: Eukaryota; Fungi; Ascomycota; Lecanoromycetes; Lecanorales; Parmeliaceae. The record is from RNAcentral.